This 205-nucleotide unclassified non-coding RNA is filed under the name Hevea brasiliensis (rubber tree). Lineage: Eukaryota; Viridiplantae; Streptophyta; Magnoliopsida; Malpighiales; Euphorbiaceae. The record is from RNAcentral.
GUCAGCUCGAACACAUUUGACUUCCCCUAACUCAGGUUUAACAGGCUUAGUAGUCACAAUGAACCCCAGGGCUUUAUAACCUUCAGGUGGUUGAGGUAACCAAAAGUAACCGGAUCCAUCAAAAUUUUCUUCAGUUCCAUCAUUAGAGCUCCAGACUAACGUGUAAUCAAGGGGAUUCUGAAGCGCAGGCAAACAAGGAUUUCCA